RNAcentral lists this ribosomal RNA (465 nucleotides) under uncultured bacterium. RNAcentral describes it as "partial 16S ribosomal RNA". It matches the Rfam family "Bacterial small subunit ribosomal RNA", at positions 338 to 795 of the family's 1533-position model. The record is from RNAcentral.
CCUACGGGAGGCAGCAGUGGGGAAUAUUGCGCAAUGGGCGAAAGCCUGACGCAGCGACGCCGCGUGAGGGAUGAAGGUCUUCGGAUCGUACACCUCUGUCAGCAGGGAAGAACGGUCACUGUGCUAAUCAGCAGUGAAUUGACGGUACCUGCAAAGGAAGCACCGGCUAACUCCGUGCCAGCAGCCGCGGUAAUACGGAGGGUGCGAGCGUUAAUCGGAAUUACUGGGCGUAAAGCGCUCGUAGGCGGUAUGUCAAGUCAAGGGUGAAAUCCCCGCGCUCAACGUGGGAACUGACUUUGAUACUGGCAAACUGGAGUGUGUGAGAGGAUAGUGGAAUGCCAGGUGUAGGAGUGAAAUCCGUAGAGAUCAGGAGGAACAUCAGUGGCGAAGGCGACUAUCUGGCACAUAACUGACGCUGAGGAGCGAAAGCGUGGGUAGCAAACAGGAUUAGAGACCCCUGUAGUC